GAUGAACGCUAGCGGGAGGCCUAAUACAUGCAAGUCGAACGGUAAGGUCCCUUCGGGGAUACACGAGUGGCGGACGGGUGCGUAACGCGUACGAAACAUACCUUCAACAGGGAGAUACCUCCGGGAAACUGGAAAUAAUACCCCAUAGUAUUGAGAUAUCGCAUGAUAUUUCAAUUAAAGCUUUGGCGGUUGAAGAUUGUCGUGCGUCUGAUUAGCUAGUUGGUGAGGUAACGGCUCACCAAGGCGACGAUCAGUAGCUGGUCUGAGAGGAUGAUCAGCCACACUGGAACUGAGACACGGUCCAGACUCCUACGGGAGGCAGCAGUAGGGAAUAUUGGACAAUGGGCGGAAGCCUGAUCCAGCCAUCCCGCGUGUAGGAAUAAGGCCCUAUGGGUUG
Molecule: ribosomal RNA, 397 nt
Filed under: uncultured bacterium
Lineage: Bacteria
Description: bacterial SSU rRNA
Rfam family: Bacterial small subunit ribosomal RNA
Source: RNAcentral